GUCGAGCGCCCCGCAAGGGGAGCGGCAGACGGGUGAGUAACGCGUGGGAACGUACCUUUUGCUACGGAAUAACUCAGGGAAACUUGUGCUAAUACCGUAUGUGCCCUUCGGGGGAAAGAUUUAUCGGCAAAGGAUCGGCCCGCGUUGGAUUAGCUAGUUGGUGAGGUAAAGGCUCACCAAGGCGACGAUCCAUAGCUGGUCUGAGAGGAUGAUCAGCCACACUGGGACUGAGACACGGCCCAGACUCCUACGGGAGGCAGCAGUGGGGAAUAUUGGACAAUGGGCGCAAGCCUGAUCCAGCCAUGCCGCGUGAGUGAUGAAGGCCCUAGGGUUGUAAAGCUCUUUCACCGGUGAAGAUAAUGACGGUAACCGGAGAAGAAGCCCCGGCUAACUUCGUGCCAGCAGCCGCGGUAAUACGAAGGGGGCUAGCGUUGUUCGGAUUUACUGGGCGUAAAGCGCACGUAGGCGGACUUUUAAGUCAGGGGUGAAAUCCCGGGGCUCAACCCCGGAACUGCCUUUGAUACUGGAAGUCUUGAGUAUGGUAGAGGUGAGUGGAAUUCCGAGUGUAGAGGUGAAAUUCGUAGAUAUUCGGAGGAACACCAGUGGCGAAGGCGGCUCACUGGACCAUUACUGA
This 634-nucleotide ribosomal RNA is filed under the name uncultured Ochrobactrum sp. Its description in RNAcentral is "bacterial SSU rRNA". It matches the Rfam family "Bacterial small subunit ribosomal RNA", at positions 61 to 743 of the family's 1533-position model. The record is from RNAcentral. Lineage: Bacteria; Pseudomonadati; Pseudomonadota; Alphaproteobacteria; Hyphomicrobiales; Brucellaceae.